GCCUUCGUGGUGUAGUGGUCAGCGCACUCGGCGCUUAUUCGAGAGGUCCGUGGUUCGAAUCCCGGCGAGGGCA
This is a non-coding RNA of Stegodyphus mimosarum, 73 nucleotides long. The record is from Rfam. Lineage: Eukaryota; Metazoa; Arthropoda; Arachnida; Araneae; Eresidae.